UGGGGAAUAUUGGACAAUGGGGGCGACCCUGAUCCAGCAAUGCCGCGUGUGUGAAGAAGGCCUUCGGGUUGUAAAGCACUUUCGAUGGGGAAAAACAAGCCAGACCUAACACGUCUGGCCCUGAUGGUACCCAGAGAAGAAGCACCGGCUAACUCUGUGCCAGCAGCCGCGGUAAUACAGAGGGUGCAAGCGUUAAUCGGAAUUACUGGGCGUAAAGGGUGCGUAGGUGGUUUGUUAAGUCAGGUGUGAAAUCCCUGGGCUCAACCUGGGAACUGCAUUUGAUACUGGCAGACUCGAGUCUGGUAGAGGGUAGUGGAAUUCCGCAUGUAGCGGUGAAAUGCGUAGAUAUGCGGAGGAACAUCAGUGGCGAAGGCGGCUACCUGGACCAAGACUGACACUGAGGCACGAAAGCGUGGGGAUCAAACAGGAUUAGAUACCCUGGUAGUCCACGCCCUAAACGAUGGGUACUAGACGUUGGGAGGUUUAUCCUCUUGGUGUCGCAGCUAACGCAAUAAGUACCCCGCCUGGGGAGUACGGUCGCAAGAUUA
Molecule: ribosomal RNA, 548 nt
Filed under: uncultured bacterium
Lineage: Bacteria
Description: bacterial SSU rRNA
Rfam family: Bacterial small subunit ribosomal RNA
Source: RNAcentral